Molecule: ribosomal RNA, 636 nt
Filed under: uncultured Arcicella sp.
Lineage: Bacteria; Pseudomonadati; Bacteroidota; Cytophagia; Cytophagales; Flectobacillaceae
Description: bacterial SSU rRNA
Rfam family: Bacterial small subunit ribosomal RNA
Source: RNAcentral
GAUGAACGCUAGCGGCAGGCCUAAUACAUGCAAGUCGAACGGUGUCUUCGGACAUAGUGGCGCACGGGUGCGUAACACGUAUGCAACCUACCUUACAUUGGGGGAUAGCCUUUCGAAAGGGAGAUUAAUACCGCAUAAGACAGUAGCUGGGCAUCCAGCAGCUGUUAAAGAUUUAUCGAUGUAAGCUGGGCAUGCGUCCAAUUAGCUAGUUGGUGAGGUAAUGGCUCACCAAGGCAAUGAUUGGUAGGGGAACUGAGAGGUCAAUCCCCCACACUGGCACUGAGAUACGGGCCAGACUCCUACGGGAGGCAGCAGUAGGGAAUAUUGGGCAAUGGACGCAAGUCUGACCCAGCCAUGCCGCGUGCAGGAUGAAGGCGUUAUGCGUUGUAAACUGCUUUUAUACAGGAAGAAACGACUCUUGCGAGAGGCAUUGACGGUACUGUAUGAAUAAGCACCGGCUAACUCCGUGCCAGCAGCCGCGGUAAUACGGAGGGUGCAAGCGUUGUCCGGAUUUAUUGGGUUUAAAGGGUGCGCAGGUGGUUUAUUAAGUCAGUGGUGAAAGACGGUCGCUCAACGAUUGCAGUGCCAUUGAAACUGGUAGACUUGAGUAAAGUAGAGGUGGGCGGAAUUGAUAGU